UACGAAGGGGGCUAGCGUUGUUCGGAAUUACUGGGCGUAAAGCGCACGUAGGCGGUAUGUUAAGUCAGGGGUGAAAUCCAGGGGCUCAACCCCGGAACUGCCUUUGAUACUGGCAUUCUCGAGUCCGGAAGAGGUGAGUGGAAUUCCGAGUGUAGAGGUGAAAUUCGUAGAUAUUCGGAGGAACACCAGUGGCGAAGGCGGCUCACUGGUCCGGUACUGACGCUGAGGUGCGAAAGCGUGGGGAGCAAACAGG
This 253-nucleotide ribosomal RNA is filed under the name uncultured bacterium. RNAcentral describes it as "partial 16S ribosomal RNA". It matches the Rfam family "Bacterial small subunit ribosomal RNA", at positions 524 to 776 of the family's 1533-position model. The record is from RNAcentral.